This 25-nucleotide non-coding RNA is filed under the name Cricetulus griseus (Chinese hamster). Lineage: Eukaryota; Metazoa; Chordata; Mammalia; Rodentia; Cricetidae. The record is from RNAcentral.
UGUCAUGAACCACCACUUACAAGAA